Molecule: long non-coding RNA, 1242 nt
Organism: Raphanus sativus (radish)
Lineage: Eukaryota; Viridiplantae; Streptophyta; Magnoliopsida; Brassicales; Brassicaceae
Exons: 3
Source: RefSeq, a predicted model, not a curated record
UGUUAGACCAGGCUGCCAACGAGCUGUACAUGAAAGCUGAAAUACUAUUAAACAAAUUCUAGAUUAUGAGGAAUAGUGUGAUUAACAAAGGUUAAUUUGCAAGACAUGUCCUACAUAUAUAAUCAUCAUGGCCUUCACCAAGGAUUCCUCUUUUCCAAGAGUUAAGUGUUUGUUCAUGGAAUAAAUGUUUUGGUAAUUAUUUUCCUUGACUCCGAAGUGGCAUGAUCAUCUAUCAUGGCUGAUGGGUUUGUGAUGGAACCUCAUAAACCAUUUUCCAAACACUUCUUUUUCUUGGACCUUCAAAAUCAGUAAGUACUACAGUCACUCUCCGAACAAGCAAACCAUAAGAUGUGAAAAGUUGUAGAAUAUCUAGACUAAGUUCUCGGAUCUUUGCAGAUGGGAUUUCUGAUUUUACCAAGGCAGUGUGGUCGAACUUCUUGAUGGUCACUCAUAUAAUUCACAUGACAUUAUUGGUUAUCUUGGUCAUCUUCUCAACUUUUCCUGCCAGACUUUUGUGUCUUUGUUUUUCUUAUUAAUGGCAUGCUGUAGAAACAUGAGAUGUAAAGAAGAGAUUUUUCCUUGUGGCCUUACUGGUAAAGGGAAUGUGAUAGAACAUAUGUUAAUCGUUACCAUUCUCUAUUUCACAAGAAGUGCCCACUUCAUCAAAGGUAUUUCUAUGCGUCCUUAAAAGCAUUUUAUCAAAAUGAAGUUAGUUUCUGCAUUUCUUUACAUGCUAAUUUCUUUUCUGCAAAUGAAACAUGAAAGAAGUCGUUAGUUUCAUGGCUGAAAAUGGUAGUGGCAAAAAAAUAAAAAAUGGUAGUUGCAAAGAAGUAUAUAGCUGACAGGGCGUUGUGCAAAGCCACGUUACAGCUCCAGUUUUCAGGAAAACAUUACCCGAAAACAACCACUCGCUGAUUCAAGUGGUAGCAUGAUAUCUUUAUCAUCCAAAUGCUUUAUUAUUUUUCUCCAAGCAAAGGAAACGAAAAACAUUGUCAAUAGGAGCAAAAGUGGGACCAUAAUGUAUAUGCACAGAUGUCUAUAUUUUUUUUUUGGUAGGAUGCACAGAUGUCUAUUUUAUCAUUGGGUUGUGUCGAUUUGUAUUGACCAUAAUGAAUAUGCACAGAUGUCUCUGUUAUCAUUGGGUUGUUUCGAUUUGUAUUUCAUGUCCGGUGGCUUAUUGAAGGCUUUUGGCCAUUUACGAAAUUAGUAAGUUUUACUAUCUAAUAACUUUGAGUUUGUUUU